Molecule: transfer RNA, 70 nt
Filed under: Apaloderma vittatum (bar-tailed trogon)
Lineage: Eukaryota; Metazoa; Chordata; Aves; Trogoniformes; Trogonidae
Rfam family: tRNA
About the family: Transfer RNA (tRNA) molecules are approximately 80 nucleotides in length.
Source: Rfam by way of RNAcentral
GGCCGGUUAGCUCAGUCGGUUGAGCGCGCUCACAAUGCAAAGGUCGCAGGUUCGAUUCCUGUUCAGCCCC